AGUGAACGCUGGCGGUAGGCCUAACACAUGCAAGUCGAACGGCAGCACAGUAAGAGCUUGCUCUUACGGGUGGCGAGUGGCGGACGGGUGGGGAAUACAUCGGAAUCUACUUUUUCGUGGGGGAUAACGUAGGGAAACUUACGCUAAUACCGCAUACGACCUACGGGUGAAAGCAGGGGAUCUUCGGACCUUGCGCGAUUGAAUGAGCCGAUGUCGGAUUAGCUAGUUGGCGGGGUAAAGGCCCACCAAGGCGACGAUCCGUAGCUGGUCUGAGAGGAUGAUCAGCCACACUGGAACUGAGACACGGUCCAGACUCCUACGGGAGGCAGCAGUGGGGAAUAUUGGACAAUGGGCGCAAGCCUGAUCCAGCCAUACCGCGUGUGUGAAGAAGGCCUUCGGGUUGUAAAGCCCUUUUGUUGGGAAAGAAAAGCAUCAGGUUAAUACCCCGCUGUUCUGACGGUACCCAAAGAAUAAGCACCGGCUAACUUCGUG
RNAcentral lists this ribosomal RNA (492 nucleotides) under uncultured bacterium. RNAcentral describes it as "partial 16S ribosomal RNA". It matches the Rfam family "Bacterial small subunit ribosomal RNA", at positions 29 to 507 of the family's 1533-position model. The record is from RNAcentral.